RNAcentral lists this long non-coding RNA (316 nucleotides) under Androctonus crassicauda. Lineage: Eukaryota; Metazoa; Arthropoda; Arachnida; Scorpiones; Buthidae. The record is from RNAcentral.
UACAUCAUAGAUCAAAAAAUAAGUUGAAAAUGACUGACAAUGCUAAUAAUUUUAGUAAUAGUGUAAUGGCAUAUCAGAUCAACCAAGAUGGUAAAAUUGUCUGGAUUUUAUUCCAGAGCUUCCAAGAUAUUAAAUCAACCAGAAUUGAACCCAGCUUUCAAGGUGAUGAGCAGUUUCUUUAUUAUGCAGCCAUCACCCAAUUUCAAAUAAUAAAAAUUUUUUUAUCUAAUAUACUAUGAAAAUAGUCAAAUUUGAAAUAUUAUAAGGGCACUCAUAAGGUACAUUCUAAUAUAAAUUUUAUACUGCUUGUUUCACU